AUUGAACGCUGGCGGAAUGCUUUACACAUGCAAGUCGAACGGUAGAGGGGGCAACCCCUUGAGAGUGGCGAACGGGUGAGUAAUAUAUCGGAACGUGCCCAGUCGUGGGGAUAACGUAGCGAAAGCUACGCUAAUACCGCAUACGAUCUACGGAUGAAAGCGGGGGAUCGCAAGACCUCGCGCGAUUGGAGCGGCCGAUAUCAGAUUAGGUAGUUGGUGAGGUAAAGGCUCACCAAGCCGACGAUCUGUAGCUGGUCUGAGAGGACGACCAGCCACACUGGGACUGAGACACGGCCCAGACUCCUACGGGAGGCAGCAGUGGGAAUUUUGGACAAUGGGCGCAAGCCUGAUCCAGCAAUGCCGCGUGCAGGAUGAAGGCCUCGG
This 384-nucleotide ribosomal RNA is filed under the name uncultured bacterium. Its description in RNAcentral is "bacterial SSU rRNA". It matches the Rfam family "Bacterial small subunit ribosomal RNA", at positions 30 to 420 of the family's 1533-position model. The record is from RNAcentral.